RNAcentral lists this transfer RNA (72 nucleotides) under Mycobacteroides abscessus. Its description in RNAcentral is "tRNA-Val(tac)". It matches the Rfam family "tRNA". Rfam says of the family: Transfer RNA (tRNA) molecules are approximately 80 nucleotides in length. Their secondary structure includes four short double-helical elements and three loops (D, anti-codon, and T loops). Further hydrogen bonds mediate the characteristic L-shaped molecular structure. tRNAs have two regions of fundamental functional importance: the anti-codon, which is responsible for specific mRNA codon recognition, and the 3' end, to which the tRNAs corresponding amino acid is attached (by aminoacyl-tRNA synthetases). tRNAs cope with the degeneracy of the genetic code in two manners: having more than one tRNA (with a specific anti-codon) for a particular amino acid; and 'wobble' base-pairing, i.e. permitting non-standard base-pairing at the 3rd anti-codon position. Lineage: Bacteria; Bacillati; Actinomycetota; Actinomycetes; Mycobacteriales; Mycobacteriaceae. The record is from RNAcentral. RNAcentral also lists the same sequence under 2 other names.
GCCUUGCUCGUCCAACGGAAGGGCACCGGGUUUACACCCCGAGGAUGGGAGUUCAAUUCUCUCGCAAGGUAC